This is an RNA transcript of Microtus oregoni (creeping vole), 5119 nucleotides long. It is a transcript of the gene named zinc finger protein 597, with no coding region annotated. The record is from RefSeq and is a predicted model, not a curated record. The transcript has 4 exons. Lineage: Eukaryota; Metazoa; Chordata; Mammalia; Rodentia; Cricetidae.
AGCGGGUGAGCGGGUCCGUUUCAAGGCUGCUUUGGAAGAAGCCGUCACCUCCGAUUCUCAAAGGAGCUUGAGGGUUUCGAGGAACCUGAGGGGAGAGUGGAAAGGCCUGGCAGCCGAGUCGUAGUUUCUAGGGACUGUUCUCUCCGCUUGAUCUGUUGUCCCAUCGUGGGGACUUGAAGAAGGACCCCUUAGCUUCCUCAGAUGGCGUCCACGCGCCCCACGUCAGAUGACCAGGGACCGUUGCUGUUUGAAGAUCUGGAUGUGUAUUUCUCUCAAGAGGAAUGUGUGAGUUUGCAGCCUGCCCAGAAGACCAACAGCGGAGAAGCCUCGUUGGAGCCUUUUGAGGAUUUGGACUCGACAGGAGGGGAAGACAAGAUUGAGACCAAUCAGCAGUUAAGCCUAGAGUCUAUGGAACUUGAAGAGCUGUCUCUAGAAACGUACUCCAUUGCCUCACCCCAUGGCCACUACUCUGAAAAAUCUGAGCAUGACGUUGGAAUGCAUGAAAGGAAGAUGUCAGGGGGAACUUUGACUUGUAAGACCAAGGUUAUAAGCCUCUUAGUUACCAUUGAAAACCAAACCCCAUUAGUAGAAUUAUCUCAGUGUUUAGGAGUCAAAACACUUUCUGAUAUUAUUGAAGUUCCCUGGGAAGAAGCCACAAAUGUGUACAAGUGUCCUGACUGUGACCAAAGCUUCAGUGAUAACACAUACCUUGUUUUGCAUCAGAAAAUCCAUUCAGGAGAGAAAAAGUAUAAAUGUAGUACCUGUGAGAAGACCUUCAGUCACAGAGCCAACCUGAGGACACAUAAGAGAAUCCACACUGGUGAGAAGCCUUACAAGUGUACCAAGUGUGCUGCCAGCUUCUGGCAGCAGUCACACCUGUCCCGGCACAUGAAGAGCCAUAUAAAGGAGAACCCGUAUACAUGUAAUGUAUGUGGGAGAGGUUUUAUGUGGCUCCCAGGAUUGGCGGAACAUCAGAAGAGUCAUACUGAUAAAAAAUCUUAUGAAUGUGCUGAACGUGAUGAACCAUACUGUCAGGAAACAAAUCUGGCUUUGCCUGAAAACACAGGCUCAUCAGACACCCCAUACCAGCACACCCAGUGUGAGAAGAGUUUGGAGCACCCCUCGUACCCUGCUCUCCCUGAGAAGGAUCAUAAGGAGGACUCUAAGAACUGCAGUAUUGAUGAUGAAGACUUUUUUUCAUUCUCCAGAUUCAAACCCUUACAGUGUCUUGAUUGUGACAUGACCUUUCCUUGUUUCUCAGAGCUUGUUUCUCAUCAAACCAUUCAUGACAUGGAAAAACCUCAUAAGUGUAAGACAUGUGGAAAAACCUUUGCUUUAGAUUCAGAACUUGCAUCCCAUGAGAAGCAGCACAUCAAAGAAGAACCCUUCAAAUGCACGGUGUGUGGGAAGAACUUCCGAGUGAAUCUGCAUCUCAUCACUCACAAACGAACCCACAGGAGAAACACCAAGUAAAUACAAGCUUUGCCACUGUGUGAGCUUCUCAGUGUCUUUAUGAUGGGAAACCGCUUAUGUACAGUGUUAUGCUAAGCAAGCACUUUACACACAUUCCAGACCUGAUGGCAGGGGCAAGCCCUGACUUCUCUAGCAGUUAAACUUCGUGGGAGUACUUGCUCCUCUCUGAAAGGAUUUGCCUCUAGAUCUCCACUGAAGCACAUCCUGGCUGGCUAUGAGUAAUUAGAACUACUUUUUGAAGAGAACAUGCUAAAUAGUAUGGAUAUAUUAUUUUAUUUAAUCUUCAACAGAUUCUGAGAGAAAAGGACUGUCCAUGUUUUACAAAUAAAUGGAAGCUUUCAGAAGGUAAAGUCAAUGCUUUGCUAAGCACACAAAACGUCACACUGGUGAGGCUGACAUCGAAAUUCAGGUGCUUUCUAACUCCCAAGGCCACACAUUUUGUGACACUGCACUAUCUGUUGGUAUUUGUGCCACAGGUUAACACUAGGAGACAGGGAUGCUGGGGAGGGAGGGGAACUGCAGGCAUGGAGGCUGCCCUGGGACUUACUACCUGAAGCCCAUUAUGUCCGUAUUCUUAUCCAAAACUAGAUUUCGUUGCUCUUAAAAAGCAACAGAAGACUCUCUACGGCUUUAUGCUUGAAAUUCUUGUCACUGUAUCAAACCAGAGAUUUGUUUUUUUCCCCAUUUUGAGACGGGGUUUCUGUGUAUAGCCCUGCUUGUCCUGGAACUCCCUCUGUUCACCAGGCUAGCCUCGAACUCAAGAGAUCUGCCUGCCUCUGACUCCUGAGUGCUGGAAGGUGUAUGACACCACGAAGUGGCUAGAGACUAUUAAAUUGUAACAUUUCCUGUCCACUUCCAAAGAAAAAUACAAUAGGAUUAUUGAGUUUUUAACCAAAAUAACUGAUAACACAUAUGUCUUUAGGUACUAGUAUCACAGAUAAAUAUUAGAGCAAAAUAUUGUCAUAUAGUGUGGUUAUUAAAAGAACCAAAGAAUGUUGUGAGUAUACAUUCUUACAGAACUACACUUUACAACAAAAUUGAUUAUAUACCUAUCAUUAAAACUAUAUGGUCUUUUGGCUGAUAUGCAUUUAUGAUUGAUUUCAUUCUGUCUAAAUAGACCGUAAAAAUGUGGUAUUUACUAAAAUGGAAUUACUGCUAGGAAAUUUCAUGCACAAAAAUAAAGCCCUCUUGAGGGUCAGUGGCUAAAAUGUAGUACCUGGGACUCGUCUCUUCUACAGAAGAGCAGGUUGAGGAUUUUAUGUACAAAAAGAUGCAGCUGCACAGCUAAGCGCUUCGUGUUUACUAGAGAUGGGAAGAUCACUGUUGCUGAGUGAGGAAACGGAACCAACAGCCUUGCCUCAUCUGUCGUCCCUUUCCUGGAGAUCACUAUUUCAGUUUAUCCACAGCUGAGACUGUGUGAUCUGUAUGUCAAGGCCAGACCUGGCUGUUUCUCCAAAUUUAGGAUAUAAACCAUCAUUCUGUCAGGAAGUUGGGGGGGUCUCACAUUUAAAAUAGCCUUCUGGUCUCUUCAGCCCUUCGUCGGAGAAGGUUCUCUUAAGUCUUAGCUAACUCUGGGAUGUGGUUGUUAUGAAACAGCCACAAGAGUGUCGGUUUCCCACUGUCUGUCUCUCAGCAGGGAAGCGGUGUGCUGCUGUGUAGGCUCUAAUAUUUCAGUGAAGACCUUGAGUUACAGGAUGGGGAAUGGAACUGGCAAAGAGGCCCUUACUAAAGAACAAACGAGAAUUGUGUCAGAAGGUACCCAGACAAAUGUGGCUGACCUAAAGAUGGAAGUUGUCACCCUCUUUCUUUGCUGCUAGGGAAACACAAGCAGGUGAGUCUGUGCUGAGGCGCUGCCGCACCUCUCCACGUGGAUUCACAUCACCUCUCAGUGUCUGCAGCUUUCUGCAUUCUCCAGACUUGGAAGAUUAGAAAAGAGACACUUUUAUAAAAGUCAUCACUAUAUGUGAGAGGAAUUAAAUGGCCUGUGGUAUAUUAUUGGUGACUGGUAUGCAGAGAAAAGGAAAACACAGUUACUGUGAAAUAGGCACAUUGUUAGUUGCUUCCUUAUUGUGUACUUGUUUCUAAAAACAUUAGUUGUAUGUUAUUCUCAAGCUGCUCUGCACCCAAGGAAUUGAAGGAAGAGCUGCAAUGGUAUUUCAGCUACUUUCAUGAUAAUGGCCUUUUCAUCGUCCUAACUGUAUUGCCCACUAGGAUAGAUCACAUAAGAAAUCUCUUAACCCAGGAUAACUUAUGUUAGGUGCUAAUAACAUAUUGGAAACCGUCAAUAUAGGGAUAAAAAUGGAAUGUAUGUGUAUUGCUGUGAAUAGUCGGCUAACUACAUGUAGGAGGGCUGUUGACACUCUGAAUGGUCUGCUAACUACAUGUAGGAGGGCUGUUGACACUCUGAAUGGUCUGCUAACUACAUGUAGGAGGGCUGUUGACACUCUGAAUGUCUGCUAACUACAUGUGUAGGAGGGGGGUGUUGACACUCUGAAGUGUGGAAAAAAUGAACUCAAACUUGGUGGGUUUUGCUGCUGUGAUGAUGUACAAGUGACUAAGACAGCUCUUUAGUAUGAUCUUUAAUAUGAUCUUUAAUAUGAUCUUUAGUAUGAUCUGUGCAUACCGAGUUGUGCUAAACUGUCAUCACUGAUGACAGCAGCAUUUCCCAGUGGAAGUUAGAUGCCAGUGUUUGCACUUUAUAUUGUGGUGUUGAAUCAUUUUGUCGAGAACUGUGCUGCUACAAAUAACAAUCUGUUCACGUGCCCUGCGACCCUGAAGAGAGCUGGCUUAGUAACUCAGGCAGUUAAAACAAAUGACAUUUUUGUCUUUGACGCCUCAAGUUCCAGAAAAUUAAGUAGUAGUAGCUGGAAAGAUGGCUGGGAGGUUAAGAGCACCGACUGCUCUUCAGAGGACCCAGGUUCAGUGCCCAAUACCCACAUGGCAGCUCAUAAGUGAUUGUAAAUCCAGUUCCUGGGUGACCUGACACCUUCACACCAUUGCACAUAAAGUUAAGUCAAUCAUAAAAAAUUCUUUAAAAAAAUUAAGUAGUAGUGUCUGGUGACUGUAAUGUAAGAUGCCAAACAAUCUGAAAAGAUACUUUGCUUUAAAUAAUCUGAUUUACUGUAUAUGUAUUCAAAGGGAGAUGUAGGGUAUAGCUUUUAUGAAAAAAAAAAAGAACCUAUUUUGAAUGUUGCAGUGAUUUCAUUAGGAAACUACUUUUGCUUUGACUAUUUGUUAAAAUGGAAAAUUGUUUAUUAGGUGUAUAUUUAACUGUUUUAGUCUUGUAUAUUAGAACUAUUUAUGUAAUAUAAAAUGACUAUUAUCUAUCUCUUUAAGGCUAACUACAGGUGUUUGUCUCUUUGAAUUGAGAUUCUUGUCUGUAAGAAUGGUCUAGGGAGAACGGGGAUACAACCUAAUUCAUUUAUAGAAACCUAAAAAUACUUUUCCCAUGUCUAUUUAUUUUGGUGACUAGUUAAUGCUCUCCAUAUGCGCUUUCUGUGUUUCUUUCAGCUUUACUGUUUCUAACACAUUCCCAUUGGUCUUAGCUCUAGAUUGGAGUCUCUCAACUGUGACUGUGUGCAUUUGAUGUGCAAAUUAUCAUCCAAUAAAUGUUAUCUUGUGAUGAUGGCAAGGUUGUAAACUUAAA